GGCUGAUAGAUGUUGCCAAAAGGCGAGUAACAUUGUUUGUUGAUCUUUUACAAAAACCACAUAGGACUGGGUGAAGUCCUAUAGCAACCCUAUGCAAUCCUUAACAAGAGAACCAUAGUAAGACAAAUUAGGCCUAACAUUGCGUAUAGCUUGUAUUAAACACAAUGAGUUCAUUUUCCACACAAUAUUACUUGAAAAAUGGCCCUUCAACCAAGUGCUUCCCUGAACGCCAUAACUUCAGCUAGCUUGGGAUCUGAAGGUCCUUCAAUAAAGUGACUACAUGCAUGAAGAAACUGACCUGAGCUAUCUCGAACCACCUAAUCUGCACCAACACCUUGUCCAUUUGAUGGAACUGAAGCAUCUACAUUGCAUUUAAUAUAACCAUCAACUGGUUUGCGCCACACAACUGCACUAUCCACACCAUACACUUGAGAAUUAACAGGCGCAGCAGUAUUGCAAGGAGCUUGAGCUUGCUGCCAUUGCAGUAAAAAGGCUGAUGCUGAACUCACAACUUGACUGGGAUCCUUAUGUACAUCAUUCCAUAACACAUCAUUUCUAUGUCUCCAAAUGGCCCAUAAGAUCAUACAGACAAGGUUGACCUCAUCCAAAGUACAUUGCUCAAAUAAUUUACACAACCAAUUCAUUAAACCCACCUCCGAAAACUGUAACACACGAGGAAUUGUAGAAGCCCAACAACUAACAGCGAAAGAACAAUACCUCUACACGUGCACAAUGCUUUCAGUACUCUGUGAACAGAUUGAACAAACAUCAUCUGUCUCAACAUGCCAUUGUCGCAAAGUUUCCCCUAUUGGAAUAGACACCGCACACGCCCGCCACAUAUAGCUCUUGACCUUUGGAGGAAUUUUCAAAAGCCAUAGCAUUCCCUAGAAAUUCUUCUCCUCAUCCAAAAUCUGCCAAUCUGUUACUGUAGUUAUGAGAUUGUAAGAGCUCUUUACGGUGUAAAUUCCCUUCUUAUCAUGACACCACAUCCAGACAUUCUGUCUACCCCCACAGCUCAAAGGUAGUUGGAGAAUCAAACUUUUAUUCCUAUCAUUAAAGAGGCAAUUGAGUUUUGCCAUAUCCCAAUCCACACCAUUACUUUAUACCAAAGAACUAACAAACCAUUCAGAUGCAUUUACAGGCCUGAGCGAAGUGACCCAAGGAUGCUCUAAGUCUGCGGCCAAGGAUCCUCCCAAAUUGCAACAUCAUUUCCUGUGCCAACUUGAAGGACACACCCUUCCUUAAGUAUUGGAACAGCUGCUAUAAGACUCCUCCAAAUGAAAUUUGGGUUAUGGCCCAGAGUUGCCUGCAAAACACAGCAACAAGGAUAAUAUCAGGCUUUGUAAACUCUUGCAACAAGGGAAUCUAAGUUAUUGAGGAGCCACCAAACUUGCUUGCCCAAUAAAGCAAUAUUAAAUUCGUGUAAUUUUCGGAAAUUCAACCCGCCCUCAGCCUUCCUUCUACACAUAAAAUCCCACCUAUGCCAUCAAAUUCCCCCACCAGAACCUUG
This 1510-nucleotide unclassified non-coding RNA is filed under the name Hevea brasiliensis (rubber tree). The record is from RNAcentral. Lineage: Eukaryota; Viridiplantae; Streptophyta; Magnoliopsida; Malpighiales; Euphorbiaceae.